GCCAAUAAAACUAACCUCUCUCCCAGGAAACGAUACAGAGAAGAUUAGCAUGGCCCCUGCACUAAGGAUGACACUCUAUUCAAAGAGAUGCUAAAGAUUU
This 100-nucleotide unclassified non-coding RNA is filed under the name Podospora comata. Lineage: Eukaryota; Fungi; Ascomycota; Sordariomycetes; Sordariales; Podosporaceae. The record is from RNAcentral.